AAGACUAUACUUUCAGGGAUCAUUGCUAUAGUUCGUUACUAGAGAAAUCUCACUAAUCGUGUAGAGUACCGGAAACCACGAGGAAGAGGUAAAGUGCUCUCUCCUGAGCAUGAAGCUGGCACUUGGUAUUGUCUCAGAAAUAACAUCUUUCGAAAUGCUCAAACAUAAGAAAUGUCACAUGUAUGAAUGCAAAUUGGCAUCUUUCUGAAGGAGAUAUUAAGCAGUGU
Molecule: small nucleolar RNA, 227 nt
Organism: Dipodomys ordii (Ord's kangaroo rat)
Lineage: Eukaryota; Metazoa; Chordata; Mammalia; Rodentia; Heteromyidae
Gene: U3
Rfam family: Small nucleolar RNA U3
About the family: Small nucleolar RNAs (snoRNAs) are involved in the processing and modification of rRNA in the nucleolus.
Source: Ensembl